RNAcentral lists this small RNA (67 nucleotides) under Nippostrongylus brasiliensis. RNAcentral describes it as "Nematode sRNA ceN72-3_ceN74-2". It matches the Rfam family "Nematode sRNA ceN72-3_ceN74-2". The record is from Rfam by way of RNAcentral. Lineage: Eukaryota; Metazoa; Nematoda; Chromadorea; Rhabditida; Heligmosomidae.
CGCUUCGGUCCGGAGUCAGUGGGUUACCUAUCAGAGAAUCCCCCAUCGACAUCCACUUGACCGGCAU